This 987-nucleotide ribosomal RNA is filed under the name uncultured archaeon. Its description in RNAcentral is "bacterial SSU rRNA". It matches the Rfam family "Archaeal small subunit ribosomal RNA", at positions 413 to 1403 of the family's 1478-position model. The record is from RNAcentral.
UGAACCGUAAAAGGGUUCAGGAAUAAGGGCUGGGUAAGACCGGUGCCAGCCGCCGCGGUAACACCGGCAGCUCAAGUGAUGGCCGAUAUUAUUGGGCUAAAGCGUCCGUAGCUCGCCGUGAAAGUCCAUCGGGAAAUCCACCCGCCUAACGGGUGGGCGUCCGGUGGAAACUGCACGGCUUGGGACCGGAGGACCCGAGGGGUACGUCGUGGGUAGGAGUGAAAUCCUGAGAUCCUCGACGGACCGCCGGUGGCGAAAGCGCCUCGGGAGGACGGAUCCGACAGUCAGGGACGAAAGCUAGGGUCUCGAACCGGAUUAGAUACCCGGGUAGUCCUAGCCGUAAACGAUGCUCGCUAGGUGUGGCGUAGGCUACGAGCCUGCGCUGUGCCAAAGGGAAGCCGCGAAGCGAGCCGCCUGGGAAGUACGUCUGCAAGGAUGAAACUUAAAGGAAUUGGCGGGGGAGCACUACAACGGGAGGAGCCUGCGGUUUAAUUGGACUCAACGCCGGACAUCUCACCGGCCCCGACUCCGGGAGUGAAGGUCAGCUUGACGAGCUUACUCGACCCGGAGAGAGGUGGUGCAUGGCCGCCGUCAGCUCGUACCGUGAGGCGUCCUGUUAAGUUAGGCAACGAGCGAGACCCGUGCUUCUAGUUGCCAGCAGCAUCUUCGGAUGGCUGGGUACACUAGGAGGACUGCCUUCGCUAAGAAGGAGGAAGGAGCGGGCAACGGUAGGUCAGUAUGCCCCGAAUGGGUCGGGCAACACGCGGGCUACAAUGGCAUGGACAACGGGACGCGACUCCGAGAGGAGGAGCUAAUCCCACAAACCGUGUCGUAGUUCGGAUUGAGGGCUGAAACUCGCCCUCAUGAAGUUGGAUUCCGUAGUAAUCGCGUCUCAGUAAGGCGCGGUGAAUACGUCCCUGCUCCUUGCACACACCGCCCGUCAAACCACCCGAGUGAGGUUCGGAUGAAGCUGUGUGUUAACACGGU